Oncorhynchus tshawytscha (Chinook salmon) is the source of this 765-nucleotide long non-coding RNA. NCBI's taxonomy places the organism in Eukaryota, Metazoa, Chordata, Actinopteri, Salmoniformes, Salmonidae. The record is from Ensembl.
ACAAGGGGAAGGUACCAGAGUUGAAUCGUCUACAAGGGGAAGGUACCAGAGUUGAAUCGUCUACAAGGGGAAGGUACCAGAGUUGAAUCGUCUACAAGGGGAAGGUACCAGAGUUGAAUAGUCUACAAGGGAAGGUACCAGAGUUGAAUAUUCUACUGGGGGAUGGUACCAGAGUUGAAUAGUCUACAAGGGAAGGUACCAGAGUUGAAUAGUCUACAAGGGAAGGUACCAGAGUUGAAUAGUCUACAAGGGAAGGUACCAGAGUUGAAUAGUCUACAAGGGGAAGGUACCAGAGUUGAAUAGUCUACAAGGGAAGGUACCAGAGUUGAAUAUUCUACUGGGGGAUGGUACCAGAGUUGAAUAGUCUACAAGGGAAGGUACCAGAGUUGAAUAGUCUACAAGGGAAGGUACCAGAGUUGAAUAGUCUACAAGGGAAGGUACCAGGGUUGAAUAGUCUACAAGGGAAGGCAACAGAGUUGAAUAGUCUACAGGUGAAGCUGCCAGAGCUGACAAAGUCAAAUCAAACGCAUUUAUAAAGCCCUUUUUCAGCAGAUGUAACAAAGUGAUUAUAAGAAAUUCAGUCUAAAACCCCAAACAGCAAGCAAUGCAGAUGUAGAAGCACGGUGGCUAGGAAGAACUCACUAGAAAGUCUUGAACCUAGGGAUGGCCUGUCCUCUUCUGGCUGUGCGAGAUUAUAAGAGUACAUGGCCAUUAAUGCCAGAUCGUUCUUCAAGAUGUUCAAACUUUAUAUAAUCAGAGUGGGCG